Ameiurus melas (black bullhead) is the source of this 72-nucleotide non-coding RNA. The record is from the annotation of a GenBank genome assembly. Lineage: Eukaryota; Metazoa; Chordata; Actinopteri; Siluriformes; Ictaluridae.
UCCCUGGUGGACUAGUGGCUAGCGUGCGGCGCUCUCAUCACCACGGCCCAGGUUCGAUUCCAAGUCAGGGAA